This 202-nucleotide non-coding RNA is filed under the name Pseudoramibacter alactolyticus. RNAcentral's name for it is "T-box sequence". It matches the Rfam family "T-box leader". From Rfam's summary of the family: Uncharged tRNA acts as the effector for transcription antitermination of genes in the T-box leader family. T-boxes are found upstream of many aminoacyl-tRNA synthetase genes and some amino acid biosynthetic genes usually in Gram-positive bacteria. Lineage: Bacteria; Bacillati; Bacillota; Clostridia; Eubacteriales; Eubacteriaceae. The record is from RNAcentral.
AAAAAUGCUUUGAAAAGGACCGAAGAAAAUGGAUUCUUCAAGAGAGGGAUUGGUUGCUGUGAAAAUCCUAAGAAUUAUUUUCGUGAGACCGCCUUGGAGCAGACCGGGAUUGACCGGCUCCGGACGCUGACCGUUACUCAGAUAAUAAAGAGGGCACCGUUCGUGCCAAAAAGGGUGGAACCGCGUUCAAAUCGUCCCUUUA